Molecule: ribosomal RNA, 321 nt
Filed under: uncultured bacterium
Lineage: Bacteria
Description: bacterial SSU rRNA
Rfam family: Bacterial small subunit ribosomal RNA
Source: RNAcentral
CCGCAAGGGGAGUGGCAGACGGGUGAGUAACGCGUGGGAACAUACCCUCCGGUUCGGAAUAACUCAGGGAAACUUGAGCUAAUACCGGAUACGGCUUAGCGGCGAAAGAUUUAUCGCCGGAGGAUUGGCCCGCGUUCGAUUAGCUAGUUGGUGAGGUAACGGCUCACCAAGGCGACGAUCGAUAGCUGGUCUGAGAGGAUGAUCAGCCACAUUGGGACUGAGACACGGCCCAAACUCCUACGGGAGGCAGCAGUGGGGAAUAUUGGACAAUGGGCGCAAGCCUGAUCCAGCCAUGCCGCGUGAGUGAUGACGGCCUUAGGG